RNAcentral lists this ribosomal RNA (511 nucleotides) under Colpoda elliotti. Its description in RNAcentral is "SSU rRNA". It matches the Rfam family "Eukaryotic small subunit ribosomal RNA", at positions 425 to 947 of the family's 1831-position model. Lineage: Eukaryota; Ciliophora; Colpodea; Colpodida; Colpodidae. The record is from RNAcentral.
GCAGCAGGCGCGUAAUUACCCAAUCCUAAUUCAGGGAGGUAGUGACAAGAAAUAACAACUCGGACCUCGUAUGAGGUUGCGAGAUUGCAAUGAGAACAAUUUAAACCACUUAUCGAGUAACAAUUGGAGGGCAAGUCUGGUGCCAGCAGCCGCGGUAAUUCCAGCUCCAAUAGCGUAUAUUAAAGUUGUUGCAGUUAAAAAGCUCGUAGUUGAAUUUCUGGCCGGCGCUGUUCUCGGCUCUCGCAGUCGGUUCAGGGCUUGGUCAUCCGUAUGGGAAGCUAGCUCGGCCUUCACUGGUCGGUUAGUGGAUCAUACACUUUACUUUGAAAAAAUUAGAGUGUUUCAGGCAGGCAAUUGCUUGGAUACUGCAGCAUGGAAUAAUGGAAUAGGACUUUGACCUAUUUGUUGGUUUCUUCGAGGUCAAAGUAAUGAUUAAUAGGGACAGUUGGGGGCAUUCGUAUUUAAUUGUCAGAGGUGAAAUUCUUGGAUUUAUUAAAGACGAACUUAUGCG